UGUCCGUGCGGGGUCCCGUAC
RNAcentral lists this unclassified non-coding RNA (21 nucleotides) under Chlamydomonas reinhardtii. Its description in RNAcentral is "small RNA Cre_3533". Lineage: Eukaryota; Viridiplantae; Chlorophyta; Chlorophyceae; Chlamydomonadales; Chlamydomonadaceae. The record is from RNAcentral.